UCAGCCGGCCGGGCGGCCGCUUCGGCUCACGCCGGGGAGGAAAGUCCGGGCUCCAUUGAGACACGGUGCCGGAUAACGUCCGGCGAGGCCUUGCGCCUCAGGGAAAGUGCCACAGAAAGCAGACCGCCGCCGGGUUCGCCCGGCGGUCAGGGUGAAAGGGUGCGGUAAGAGCGCACCGCGGACGCGGCGACGCGGACGGCACGGCAAACCCCACCGGGAGCAAGAUCGAAUAGGGGCGACAGCGGCUUGCCGCAGGCCUGUCUCAGGGCCCGUCGCCCGGGUUGAUUGCUCGAGGCGGCCGGCAACGGCCGUCCCAGAGGAAUGGCCGCCACGGCCGGACCGCAAGGUCCGGCCCAUACAGAACCCGGCUUACAGGCCGGCUGACCCU
RNAcentral lists this RNase P RNA (388 nucleotides) under Enterovirga aerilata. Its description in RNAcentral is "Enterovirga sp. DB1703 Bacterial RNase P class A". It matches the Rfam family "Bacterial RNase P class A". From Rfam's summary of the family: Ribonuclease P (RNase P) is a ubiquitous endoribonuclease, found in archaea, bacteria and eukarya as well as chloroplasts and mitochondria. Its best characterised activity is the generation of mature 5'-ends of tRNAs by cleaving the 5'-leader elements of precursor-tRNAs. Lineage: Bacteria; Pseudomonadati; Pseudomonadota; Alphaproteobacteria; Hyphomicrobiales; Methylobacteriaceae. The record is from Rfam by way of RNAcentral.